This 145-nucleotide unclassified non-coding RNA is filed under the name soil metagenome. RNAcentral describes it as "partial internal transcribed spacer 1". The record is from RNAcentral.
UAAUAAGUGUUUUAUGGCACUUUUAAAUCCAUAUCCACCUUGUGUGCAAUGUCAGUCGAUCUUCUUCAUGGAGAUCGACCAAACAUCAACCUUUAUCUUUUAACUCUUUGUCGGAAAAAUAUUAUGAAUAAAACAAUUCAAAAUA